UACGGUCGCGGGAGCGGAGAAAAACCGCUAAUGAGGAAAGUCCGAGCGUUUCAGAAACAGGGUGCCGGAGAAAUCCCGGUGAAGGCGACUUUAAGGAAAGUGCAACAGAAAUAAACCGCCUAUAAGGUAAGGAUGGAAAGGCAGGGUAAGAGCCUACCGCCCCUUCGGUAACGAAGGGGGCAAAUGUAAACCCCACCCGACGCAAGAUUGACAAACCGUUUUAUCAGGGAGUUUCGCCAAAACGGUUUAUAAAAUAUCGCUGGGGGAUAUAGGUAACUAUAUUCGUAGAUAAAUGACCGUACACGACAGAACUCGGCUUAUCGGAA
Molecule: RNase P RNA, 326 nt
Filed under: bovine gut metagenome
Description: Bacterial RNase P class A
Rfam family: Bacterial RNase P class A
About the family: Ribonuclease P (RNase P) is a ubiquitous endoribonuclease, found in archaea, bacteria and eukarya as well as chloroplasts and mitochondria.
Source: RNAcentral